Non-coding RNA from Vicugna pacos (alpaca), 720 nucleotides. The record is from RefSeq and is a predicted model, not a curated record. Lineage: Eukaryota; Metazoa; Chordata; Mammalia; Artiodactyla; Camelidae.
UGUUAAAACCAAAAGCAAAUGGAGACCAGUCUUGAAGUUUCCCUGCACAGGCAAAACCAGUUUAGUCAUUAAUUUAGCUUAAUUACCAGCCGCUGUGAACGCACUGCCUUCUCACUAUAUAAGCUGCUGUGGGGGCUCGACACCUCUUUCCACGCUCUGCUCUCAGUUUGUAAGCCGCGUUUUUGGUGUGUGCGUAGUCAAUUUUUACUAGUUGGUGAUUCCUUGGGUUUAUUUUGUUAACUUCUGAACCUGUGGCAUUUGAUGAUGCCUGAAGCGUGACCCACAGAAGACGAACCCUCGUAGCCCCAAGGCCAGAGAGCAAACUAGGUGCCGGUUCCAAGCGGACCUCAGAGUUCCCGGGACAUGUGAGGAUACAAAUCUGGAGCUUCACACAGCCUUCCUGCCAGACGAGGGGAACAAAGGUGUUCCCAGACUGCAGCCAAGAGGUUCCAGAUUUGGUUCACAGUGUCCUGUAGGUUCCACAGCUGGUACCUAAGUCUGGUACCCCAUGCACUGGAUGGCAAGGCUGCUAGACCCCACGACUCCCACAGAGCAAUGUAUAAAACACAGCAUGCGAUAUUAUCUUUUCACUUGAAAAGGCAACACUAAAAAUAGGUCACGGCCUCUGACGGAGUAUACAAACUGCCAGGACAAGGACUACGAGCACAGUAGGAGUUCAAGAAAUGAUGGUAAUAAUGAGACCGCAGUGUUGCUGAUUCU